This 774-nucleotide long non-coding RNA is filed under the name Homo sapiens (human). RNAcentral's name for it is "HSALNT0331338". The record is from RNAcentral. Lineage: Eukaryota; Metazoa; Chordata; Mammalia; Primates; Hominidae.
GCUGUGGAGAGAAUAGAGGAAGACUUGACGUGGGGUCCACUCUGCUUCCUCUCGGCUGAGUGACCUUAAGAGAAGGUGCUCACCUUCGCUGAGCUUCAAUUUCCUGCUCUGUGAAUGCAGAGAUGAAGGCACAUGAUGUGUCACAAACCCAGCCCUCCAGGACUUGGUGGUAACUCUGGGGAACAUUGACUUCAUGCUGGAGUGGCCCCGUGCUGGGCUGAGUCAAGUUUGGGAUCUCCCAGGCAGUCCGGGCAGCUCCCCCAGCAAUGAGCAGCCUGGCCUCUCAGACUCUGCGGAAGUAAGAAUGAAAUGUGAAAACCAGCUGGGACCCACCCUCAUCCCAUGGCACACCUGGGGUUAGGGCCCUGCCGCAGUCCCCAGCUGCUCUUCUGAUUAGGCAAGGGUCAGGCUCCCGUCUCCUGCACACGGCAGCCCGGACCUUUGGGCGUCCAGCAUCUUGGGGAAGCACAGGCUUUCGCUGGAAAGUUCAGCCCCGCAUCUUGGCAUUAUUCGCUGUACCAGUACCGGCUCGGGAGGACCGGAGACUAACAGAACCACUCCUGGCAUGACGCAGUUCCCUUCACCCCGGGUUACUCUGUAUUCACAGGUCCAGAGGGGAGAGGGUGGGGUGUAGAUGAGUGGUUUCCUCCCCCUCUUCUCCAUUGUUUCCUCUGAGCAAAGUGACCCAGCGGUCCGGUCCGUUCCCCACCAGCCUCGAGCAUCGGAGAGGAUGCUGCCUGCUGCCCCGGGGGAGGGGCAGGGGGCUUGUUCUCA